Long non-coding RNA from Neodiprion fabricii, 435 nucleotides. RefSeq lists it as uncharacterized. The transcript is spliced from 4 exons. The record is from RefSeq and is a predicted model, not a curated record. NCBI's taxonomy places the organism in Eukaryota, Metazoa, Arthropoda, Insecta, Hymenoptera, Diprionidae.
AUAUUCGCAAGUGACCCAGUAAUACAAUGUUGGAAAACUAAAUGAAGCUGAACAGGUCGUCAUUUUGUAGAAGACUAGAGAACAGGGGCACACUACAUUGUAGCACUAUCGACCACAUUAAGUGAUGAUCCAAAUAAUGUAACCCAAUCAAUCGAUAUCUGACAAGAAACUAAAAAUGAAACCACAUGCUAGGCAGUGAAUAGAAGUGAAAGUGUGAAAAGUGUGUGCAACCACCAUACAACCUGAGAUGCUACAAGAACUACUACACAUACAUGCGAAGUGUGGAGCAACCCGGAGGAGAGUUAAGCAGAGACAUCCGAGUAACUUCUCCAUUACUCAGCAACGUUGGUGAGUUUGCAUGUGUUAGGUUACGGGUAUUUCCCUGGGACUCCUCCAUCCCGUGGCGUGGCGGUAACACUGUUACACGAAUCUACG